AUUCAUUUAGUAUAAUUUUAGUAUAUAAAGCUUCCAACUUUAAGGAUAUUUUAAUAUAAAUGAAUA
This 66-nucleotide transfer RNA is filed under the name Drabescoides nuchalis. RNAcentral describes it as "tRNA-Gly". The record is from RNAcentral. Lineage: Eukaryota; Metazoa; Arthropoda; Insecta; Hemiptera; Cicadellidae.